GUUAGCUGUGAACACCCUUGUGACUGCUCACGACGGUUAUGGAUGAUUUCAGAUUUUAAUCAUUUAGUGAAAUGUUUUCGAACAUCUACUUUGGAUGAUAAGCUACAAGAGUUCAAGACCCCUUACGGAACUGUGAAAAAAAGACAUUGGGAAGCGGUAUUAGAGGAAGAGAAUUAUCGUCAGCCUAACUUAAAAAUCGCUUACAAGUUAACACCAGCGCAUUUGAAACCGAAAGGUUUUCAAGUAAUGAAUGUUCCUCUUGCAACUGAAGUGUUUGGUCACGAAAUUUCGGUCGCCAUGGCUCACUAUCAACCCUAUUGCGAGGAAUUGAAGGAUUCAACUGCAACACAAAAAUUUAUUGAUCUUGUAUUCAAUUUGAUACAAGCUAUGUCUUCGCGUAUACCAAGAGAUGCUCUGUACGUGAAUGAAAAUUGCAGACGAAGAAAGGUAAGAAAUAGUUGGCGAUUAAAAUUAAGGUCAAUGCGGAGAAGACCGUCUAUCAGCUAAGUCCGUCUACUCACUAUAACAUUUAAGGGAAGACCGUCAUAAAGAAAGACCGGCCGGACGGUGCCUUAAACCAGAAGUAGCCAACCUUUUAAUGUAUUUUUGUUAGUAGAUACCUCUUAUAGUGAAGAAUAUUUUAUGCCGAUUAUAAUUAGAAUUAAUAUAAUUAUGCGUUGCUGGUAGUGAAUAUUAUGUGUUAUUCUGACCAACAACCGAAAAAUUUUCAAAGACUUACAUACAGUACAACAACUUAACUUCCAUACAGACCACAAAAUGGUAAGAGCAUCACUGUCAACGAAGCAGAAACCAAAAAGAAGACAUUUUCAGAAUAAGUAUAAAACUGCCUUGGUAUUAACUGGAAACAAGGAGUCACUUCUUGAAAAUUUGAAUACUACAAUAAACAGACAUGCGACCGUAAACUAC
Long non-coding RNA from Cydia fagiglandana, 927 nucleotides. RefSeq lists it as uncharacterized. Lineage: Eukaryota; Metazoa; Arthropoda; Insecta; Lepidoptera; Tortricidae. The transcript is spliced from 3 exons. The record is from RefSeq and is a predicted model, not a curated record.